This 253-nucleotide ribosomal RNA is filed under the name uncultured bacterium. RNAcentral describes it as "partial 16S ribosomal RNA". It matches the Rfam family "Bacterial small subunit ribosomal RNA", at positions 524 to 776 of the family's 1533-position model. The record is from RNAcentral.
UACGUAGGGGGCAAGCGUUGUCCGGAAUCAUUGGGCGUAAAGCGCGUGUAGGCGGCCCGAUAAGUCCGCUGUGAAAUCUCGAGGCUCAACUUCGAGCUGUCGGUGGAAACUGUCUGGCUAGAGUCCGGAAGAGGAGAAUGGAAUUCCUGGUGUAGCGGUGAAAUGCGCAGAUAUCAGGAAGAACACCCGUGGCGAAGGCGGUUCUCUGGGACGGUACUGACGCUGAGACGCGAAAGCGUGGGGAGCGAACAGG